UUCGAUUAAAGUUUCCUAACCUUGUGGAAAUAUUCAAGUGUCUAAAAACGCAGUGCGCAGGGGUGUGAAGGUAUUAAUUAAAUAACUGACAUUUUGGGAUGAAAGCUAGAGUAUCAAUACGGAUUCGAUACCCGAUAAGUUCUAGCUGCAAACAAUGAACACCACUAAAUCAAAUAAUAAAUGAAAUUGCAAGUGUUCCGCCCGAAGAGUACGUUCGCAAGAACGAAACUCAAGACAAUAGACGGUUACAGCCUUGAGCAAGUUAGCUGGGUUAUGGCAUUG
This 282-nucleotide non-coding RNA is filed under the name Lachancea lanzarotensis. Its description in RNAcentral is "Bacterial small subunit ribosomal RNA". It matches the Rfam family "Bacterial small subunit ribosomal RNA", at positions 636 to 956 of the family's 1533-position model. The record is from Rfam by way of RNAcentral. Lineage: Eukaryota; Fungi; Ascomycota; Saccharomycetes; Saccharomycetales; Saccharomycetaceae.